Gossypium raimondii (Peruvian cotton) is the source of this 107-nucleotide non-coding RNA. Lineage: Eukaryota; Viridiplantae; Streptophyta; Magnoliopsida; Malvales; Malvaceae. The record is from Rfam.
AAACCAUGCAUAGGACAUUUCCUAAGUAAUUCCUUAAAUCUUUCCUAGGCUUUGUACAAUGUUUCAUCCUUUGAUUGCCAAAAAGAUGUUAUGUCAUUUAUAAGCUU